AAAAAAAAAAAAAAAAAAGAAAUAAUCCUUCCUUCCAAGUAUCAAUAAUAUCUACUUUAACCUAAUAAUUUUCUGAAAAUAUAUAUGGAUGUUAUCCUCUGUUAUUUAUAUGAAACCAUAUCCCUUAUUUUCUCAUUUUGUAUUAUAAAUGGUUACUUCUAAUGUAAGUAACUCUUUAUUCACCCAUUUUCUCUUUAUUACCUAAUAUGUGUACAAUGGCUUGACAAAUGUGAAGGAACUGCAGCAAUAACAACACUGCACUUCUCCCAUAGGUCAUGGAGGAGGCAAACAGAGGUCAAAGAUGGCAAGUCACCCAGCUAGUAAGUUUCAGAGCUGCCUCCAGAAUUCAUGCCUGCUAAUUCAUACUAAAUUGAUUUGUUUCAACUACUCUGUCUUUCCUGCUCAUAAAUAGUCUCAUGGAUUGGGAUAAUUAUAAUAAAAGAGUUACAUAAUUUUCAAACAUCUUCUCUUUCAAAUAGGAGAUAAAAUUCAGGACUUCUUUCUGGACUUACAGAAAGUUAUGUGGUUAGGGUUGAAAUGAUAAAUGGCAAACAAAUGAGAAAUUCAGCUGUGCCAAGUAACUAACUGAAUGCACACAAUUUUUAAAUAUUAUAUAUCAUUAUCAUUAAGGUCCCUAUUAUAAAACAAUGUUAUUAUACAAAGCCAAAAACCGUAAUUCAAACUCAAGAGAAUUCUGUGAAUUAAAGACAUGGAAAAGAAAAAGGAUAGCUGUAUUAUCUAACAUUAGCCCCUUGAACACAAUCAUCAGUCAAUAUCCUGGUUAGACAAUGUUGCCCUAAUCAUUAUUAAAUCUAUUUUUACUCAUAAUUUAGAUUCUGUCUAUAAAGGGACAUUUUUUAAAUGAUGUACACAACUUGUAAGUGAGACUGAUCCUUAAAACAUAUGAACCAUAACAUGCUCCUCAUCUGCUAAGAUUCCUUUAAUGAUCUCCAUCUCCCUCAGAAUAAUAGUCAAGGUCCUAUUAUGGUCUACCAGGCUGUAAAUGAUGAACACCACUCACCCUCCAUAGCGUCAUCUCUCACUUGUCUGCUCCUGUCUUCCUGCCACUGCCCUUGCCAUUCCUUCAACACACCAAGCACACUCUUCAUACUGACUCUUCCUGUUGAAUGUACCUCUCUUCCCCCACAUUUUGAAAUUGUUCUCUUACUCCAUUCAGUCCUCUAUUCCAUUCUCUCCUUAUCAAAGAGCCUUUCCCUAGACAGUGUAUCUGAGGAGGUAUUUCAGUGUUCUCUAGUAUCUCUGCUUUAUUUUUCUUCUUAGUACUUAUCCCCACUGACAUACACAUCAAAAUCUUCACUUUAUGUUUUCUUCCAUAGGAAUGAAAGCUCUGGGAGAGUAGGAAUUUUCCUUGUAUGAAUAAAUGAAUUAAUGAAUGGAUAAUCAUCUUUUUAUUUCAUCUAGCUAAACAGAAAACUUCUCCAGGGAAAUGACUCUAUCAAAAACAUUUUUAAGUUCUUGAUUUCUUUGAAUAUUAGUAUAAUCCAAAGUGAAGUGUUAGUACCAAUAGCAUUCUUUAUCAAAUGAUAAGUUGGCAAAAUGGCAAAUAUGAUGGUAUUUUUAUGUGUGUGCACAAUGUAGUAUACAGAAUGAUUUGUGUUCCAUAACCUGUGAGGUAGCAUAAUGUAGUAGACCUGCAUCAUGCCAAGAAACAUAGAUUUAGUUCUGUUACUAAUGUUCCAUGUGACAGAGGAGAGUUAUUUAGACUUGUGAAAUAAGUUGAUUGGACCAAGUUUCUUUCUGUCUCAUAAGACUACAGGGAUCUAUGAGAUGUUUGUCCCUUCCUUCUUUAUUUUGCUUCCAAACAUGUGAAAGCCAAACAACAAGUGUAUUCAAUUUAAGGCCAAUAUUUAUAUAAUUGUUGGAUGACAAGAACAUCCACAACGUUUAGCUUCAACUUAUUUGGUUUUAAUGUUUAUUUCCAUAAUAUUUGCAAACUAAAAAUUUGGGAAUGUUUAUUAUCAGAAUACUCUUUAUCAAAGUAUCAUUGAAGAGUGGUUCUUAACUCUGCAAGAAUCAGUGCAGACACACUUACUUUGGCGUAUCAUUUUAAAUACAGCUUUUUGCAGGACUCUUACCAUUUAGCUAAAAGCAGAGAGUUAAGCAUAUGCAUUGCAUGAAGAUAUAGUCGAAAUUUAUCUUCCCUUUAAGCGGGUAAGGAGUGUUCUCUCAAGGUACAUGCCAAUAAAAAUGUGUCCAAUCCCUAAUGUCCUAAUGUUCAUGCUAAAACAUAACAAAAUCUCUGAGGCAUCCAGAUAGAAUAACUUUAAGCUUAGUUCCUUUAGGAGUAAGUCAUUUUAAUUGAAGAGAUCUGAUCACACUGAAGGACAAAGACAUUUAUCUCUCUGUAUAAUGAAAACUGAAAAAGCCACUGGUAGUUGUUCUACAGAAGACCUGGAUGUGUAGGAGCUAAGACACACUCCAGGGGAGCUGUGGAAGCAGUAACACGGGAGGGGUUACAAGGAAGGAAGGAUUACAAGGAAGGAGGGGACCACCAAGUCUUCACUCAUAACUAAGCAAUAAUAGUGAGAGUUGUGAGCAUUGUUGAAACAACCAAGACACUUCCCUGGACCCAGGAAUGAACACACAGCCAUUAGCCACAAUCAUGGCAAUGGGGACUUCAAAGGCCAGUGUGGCUCUAGCUUACUGAGAAACGUGACUAAAACUAACCUUGCACAAUGACUGCUGAAUGCUCCCAGGAGACUCUUUGACUAUUGAGAUCUUUUAUUUACAUAGAAAUUGAUUUAAUUAACUCUCAUUUCAUACAUGGUAGUCAAUAUUCUCUGGUUACUAUUAGCGUUGGCAAACAGAUUGACUCUGAAGAGUGUCAAGAGCUUUUAGAGGUGGACACCAGCACAGAGUACAUGGCAGAGAAGAGAAGAAACUCGAUUUUCAUGACCUGGGUGCUCCUCCCUACAAUUACAUAUUUAUUAACAUUCUACAUGUUUUAAGAAUUUGAUUCUUAAAAGUCAUUAAGGGAAAGUCAUUAAGAAGUUUCACUUCAAAACAGUUUAUACAAGGAAAAAAAUAUAGAAAAAAUAUAAAUUCAGGCAUCUAUGUAACUUAUGUAAGAUUUUGUUUCUAUUCUUGAUAGUUUUUAAAUUAUUUUCAUCUUCAAACUAUAAAAGGAAGAUGCCCAAAUGCUCAACUUCUUACAUUAUUAGAGUAUUAUUCAUAAUUUGCAAACCAAGAACAACUCAAGCACAUGGAAGAAAUAAGCAAGUGGCAAGAGAUUUGAGAAUUGUAAAACUGAUGGCAAAAGAAUGACCAGCAAAUGGUAAUGUAAAUGUCCUGACCUGCUGAGUCUCCCAGUCCAAUCUCUCCCACUCCCGGUGUCCUGAUGUCCUUGAUAUUAUCUAUUUCUUGAAAUGCUAAAAAAAAAAAAAAAAAAAAGAAAAAGAAAAAGGAAGAAAAAUUGAAACAAAGAAAGAAAAUAUUAAGUGAGAAAUCAGAGUAAUUCCAAAUAAAUAAAAAAAUUGAAAAUGAUAAAGAUAGUUAAAUGAGAUUUCUAUUGCAAAAUGUUGGAAAAAAUAUUAAGUACUUUCAUUAUAAUAAUUUUUUUUUUUUCUAGACCAGAUUCAUAGCCAUAAAACAACAUCAGACUCAUACGACUGUGCUAGUUAGUGGCUAAUGAAUGAAAAAUCAAUGAAAAACUAAACAAUUUUUAUUAAUGACAUUUCAAGAUACAGCGACAACUGAAAUGUAAAAAUAUGAACUAAUUAUUUUGGAGCCAUAUUAAUUAAAUCACUUAAAAGUCAUCAUAUGAUUAAUUCAGCCAUGUGAGCAUGCAUGUGUGAUGCACAAACUCACUCACACAAGUGUGUGUGUAUAGCCUGAAGUGAUCCUAAGCCUAGUUUUACUGAGACAAUUACAACCAUUUUUUAUAGUCCAUGAUAGUUUAAAAUAUAUAUAUAUAUAAUGUAAUAUUACUUAGAGCUACAAUACUUUACGCAAAACAUUCUAACGGGCACUGAAAUGUAUGGAAUACAUAUGUGUAUAAAUUUAUAGAAUAAAACUUAUGGAAUACAUGUAUAUGUAUAAAUUUAUGAAAUAAAAUUUAUAGAAUACAUAAGCACUUAGCAAAGCACGGUGCUACAUUGUACUAGGACACUAAGUUAUAGAAGAAUAAAUACUUCAUAAACCCAUUGAAUAAUUUCCAGGCAAAAAUACCAACAAUAGAAAGAACAAAAUAAAAACAGAAACACUCUAUAAGUAGUCACUUUAUCAGAGACAGACUGCAGGGUCAUAAAAGCAGAAUUUAAUUAUUGAUUUCUGGGAAUGUUUUUGCAAAUUUAUCUAACCUCUUGGAGGCUUAUUUUCCCAAUCUACAAAAUGGCUUCAUAAGCUUGUCAUGAACCCCAAAUCUAAGUUUUCAAUACAUACAGCUAUUUUAUUAUGAUUUUAUUAUUUAUUUGUGAUUGUGGAAUAUUUUUUAUAUGGGGAAGUUCAUCAGCUAUUGUCUGCUUUUUAAGGUUUGGCCACCAAAAUGACUACAUUAUAUGACUUCAAGAUGUUUAUGCAUUUAUUAAUUAUAUGUGGGAUCUUGCAACAAGCUUAUUAAAAUUGUAUAAAUAAAAAGCUUAUCAAUUUUUUGUCUUAGGUUGGUCCUAUAUUAUCAACCAGAUUAUGCAGGUCAGUAUUUUAAUGACAAUACUUCAAACUGUACUUACAGGAAAACAGAAUUCCACUUCUGAAAUACUGGUCUAACAUACCAGAGCUACAGACUUAGAGGUAAUCUAAGACCAGGUGACUUGUGCAACUUUUAUUUAUUAAUUUAUAUUCUUUUUCAUUUUAAAAAGCCUAAAUAAUUUUGGAAUAUUUAGAUCAUUUUAGAGUACAUAAAAUGGCAAGAAGAAUUACACUCUAUAACCAAGUAGGAUUUAUCCCAGGAAUGCAAAGUUGAUUUACCAUAUAAAUAUCAAAUAACAUACCAUACCAUAUUAAUAAAGGGAAAAAUCAUACAAUAUCUCUAUAGAUGCUGAAAAGCAUCUGACAAAAUCCAACACCCUGCUUUAAAACCAUCAAAACAUUAAACAAACUAGCAAUAGAAGGAAACUUCCUCAACCUAGUAAAGACCAUCUAUGAAAAAUCUACAACUAUAAUACUUAAUGGCAAAACAUUAACUGUUUUCUCCUUAAACUAAGGAACAAGAAUGUUUGCUCAUACCACUUUUAUUCAACAUUUUAUUAGAGAUUUCAUACAGGUUCACUAAAUAAGAAACAGAAAGAAAAGGCAUCCAGGCUGGAAAGAAAGAAGUAUGAUUAUCGCUAUUUGUAGAUAACGUUAUCAUUUUUACUUAGAAAAUCUUAAGGAAGUAAUUAAAAAACUAUAAGAGCUAAAGAACAAGUUCAGUAAGGUUGCAGGAUAGUUGAUCAAUAUAUAAAAAUCAAUUGUAUUUCUACAAACUAGUAAUGAACAUUCUGAAAAUGAUAUCAAGGAAACAAUUCCAUUUAUAAUAGCAUGGAAAGAAUAAAAUACUUCGGAAUAAAUUUAACAUUAGAAGUCUAAGGCUUGUGAAUCACAAACUAUAAACAUCUUUGAAAAAAAUUAAAGAAUAUCUAAAAAAUGAAAAGACAACCCACAUUCAUGGAUGAGAAAACUUAAUAUUCUUAAAAUGAUAAUACUUGCCAAUUAAUCUACAGAUUGAACACAAUUCUUAUCAAAAUCCCAGUUGGCUUUUUUACAGAAACUGUCAAGCUGAUCCUAAAAUUCAUAUGGACAUACAAAAAGUCCAAAAUAGCUACAUCGAUCCUGAAAAAAAAAAAAGAAAGAAAAAGGGGAUGUAUCCUUCCCAACUUCAAAAUUUAUGACAAAGCUACAAUAAUUAAGACAUUAGUGGUACUGGUAUAAGGAUGCACAUAUAGAUCUAAUGGCACAGAAUUGAGAGUACAGAAAUAAACCGAUACAUUUGUAGCUAGUUGAUUUUUGAUAAGGUUGCCCAGACAAGUCAAUGGAAGGAAGAAUAGUUGUCAUAUAAGUAUUAAUAUAUUUUUAAAAAUCUGGUCUUUGUCCCUGGUUCCUGGCACAGAGUUUCAGAAAUUCUUGAAAUUCCCUGAGUGAUAGAUGUGCCUUUGUUAUGCUAAUGAGGUGGCACAGGGUUGUUGCCACAGAUAGCCUACAGGAUGGGGGAGGUUGUCAAAAGAAUAAAAAAUCCCGGCCGGGCGCGGUGGCUUACGCCUGUAAUCCCAGCACUUUGGGAGGCCGAGGCGGACGGAUCACGAGGUCAGGAGAUCAAGACCAUCCUGGCUAACACGGUGAAACCCCGUGUCUACUAAAAAUACAAAACAUUUAGCCGGGCGUGGUGGCGGGCGGCUGUAGUCCCAGCUACUCCGGAGGCUGGGGCAGGAGAAUGGCGUGAACCCGGGAGGCGGGGCUUGCAGUGAGCCGAGGUCACGCCACCGCACUACAGCCUGGGUGACAGAGCGCGACUCCGCCUCGGAAAAAAAAAAUAAAAAAUCCCAUGUAAUUAGAGUGAUGGCGUUUCCAGUCCCCUCCUACCUCUGGGGAAAGAAGAAGAUCUGAAGAUUGAGUUUAGUCACAUGGCCAAUUAUAUGCUUAUGUAAUAAAUACCUUGAAUAAAAACUAUGGACAUGAGCUCGGGUGCGGUGGCCCAUGCCUGUAAUCCCAGCACUUUGGGAGACCAAGAAGGAGGGCGGAUACCUUGAGGUUCAGGAGUUUAAGACCAGCCCUGGCCAACAUGGCAAAACCCCAUCUCUACCAAAAAUACAAAAAUUAGCUGGGCAGGGUGGUGCACGCCUAUAAUCCCAGCUACUCGGGAGGCUGAGGCCGGGGAAUCACUUUUAGCUGGGCAGCAGAGGUUGCAGUGAGCCGAGAUCACACCACUGCACUCCGGCCUGAGCAACAGAGCAAGACUCCAUCUUAAAAAUCAAAUAAAACUACGAACAUGAGGCUUGAAUUGCUUCCAGGAUAGUGAACAUACUGAUGUACCAGGAGGGUGUUGCAACCAACGCCAUGAAGACAGAAACUUGUGCUCCAGAUUAUUCCAGACAUAUCCUGUGUACCCCUUUAUCCAGCUACUCAUUUAAAUCCUUUAUAAUAAAAUGGCAAUUGUUAAGUAUAGCACUUUUUGUGAGAUAGCUAAGUUGUUCUAGUGAACUAUCAAACCUUAAAGGGGUUCUUAGGAACUCCCAAUUUUGUAGCCAAUUCUGCCAAGCAGAAAUAAGGGUAGCUUGGAGACCCCACUUGCAGUUGACCUUUGAAAUAAGGACAGUCUAAUUGAGGACCUUGUCCUUGAAUCUGUAGGAUCUGAUGUUAACUGCAAAUAGUUAGCGUCAGAUUGAAUUGAACUACAGGACACCCAGCUGACGUAAGAGAAUUAGUGUUAGAACGUAAUACAAUCUUCAAUAAAUUAUUCUGGGAUAACAAAAUAUUCACAUGCAAAAGAAUUAAACUGGACCCUUAUCUCAUAUAUAAAUAAGAAUUAACUCAAAAUGGAUGACAUACACCUACAUGUAGAAACUAAACUAUAAAAGUCUUAGAAGAAAAUGUAAAUAUUCAUGACCUUGGG
Molecule: long non-coding RNA, 7546 nt
Filed under: Homo sapiens (human)
Lineage: Eukaryota; Metazoa; Chordata; Mammalia; Primates; Hominidae
Description: HSALNT0186638
Rfam family: mir-920 microRNA precursor family (bases 2393-2466)
Source: RNAcentral